GCCAGUGUGGUGGAGUGGUUUGAGUGUUGGACUGUGACUCUGGAGACCAGGGUUCAAAUCCCUGCUCAGCCA
RNAcentral lists this transfer RNA (72 nucleotides) under Phrynosoma platyrhinos (Desert horned lizard). Its description in RNAcentral is "tRNA-OTHER". The stretch from base 9 to 72 matches the Rfam family "tRNA". Rfam says of the family: Transfer RNA (tRNA) molecules are approximately 80 nucleotides in length. Their secondary structure includes four short double-helical elements and three loops (D, anti-codon, and T loops). Lineage: Eukaryota; Metazoa; Chordata; Lepidosauria; Squamata; Phrynosomatidae. The record is from RNAcentral.